This 244-nucleotide ribosomal RNA is filed under the name Cryptosporidium meleagridis. Its description in RNAcentral is "partial small subunit ribosomal RNA". It matches the Rfam family "Eukaryotic small subunit ribosomal RNA", at positions 394 to 639 of the family's 1831-position model. Lineage: Eukaryota; Apicomplexa; Conoidasida; Eucoccidiorida; Cryptosporidiidae. The record is from RNAcentral.
GCCUGAGAAACGGCUACCACAUCUAAGGAAGGCAGCAGGCGCGCAAAUUACCCAAUCCUAAUACAGGGUGGUAGUGACAAGAAAUAACAAUACAGGACUUUUUGGUUUUGUAAUUGGAAUGAGUUAAGUAUAAACCCCUUUACAAGUAUCAAUUGGAGGGCAAGUCUGGUGCCAGCAGCCGCGGUAAUUCCAGCUCCAAUAGCGUAUAUUAAAGUUGUUGCAGUUAAAAAGCUCGUAGUUGGAU